AAGCAUUACAUGUUAUUCUUAACACCUGCCACUUCUCUCUUCCCACCUCUAUCUGCCUUAUUGAACUUCAUCUUUCCUUCAUUCUCUUCAACUUCCACUUCUUCUUGUAUGGUCCUGUUGAUGCCAUCUUGUUUCCGUCCCCAGACUCAUCAUCUUUACCCUCUGUCAACUGAGUUCCCACCCUGGUUCUCUCUCAAGAUCUUCCUCUCAUAGCUUUCACCCUUGGUAAACAAUGAGGACACAUCUCAAAAAGAAUGAUGUAAUUUAAUUGCCUUGAGUUGGCUGGGCCAUCAUCUAUUAUAAAGUGCUCUUAAAAUUAAAGCUAAUUUAAUUCUGAAGAACUAAGGAUUAAGAAGUUAAGAGCUGGGGUUCUUACAAUAUGGCUUGCAGACUACAAGUGUGAACUGAGGAGGUCCCCAAAGUCACUUCUUACUAAGUGAAAGCGGUGUAAAUGGCUCUUAUCUGAACCACAAUGAAUUCACAUAUUCAAGUUGGCUUCUUCGGAAAUUUCAGGCCACAAAUGGCAGUGAUGCGACCAGGAGCAGUAACACGAUUACAAGUCGCAAUUUAGGAAGGGUGCUCCAUCAUCAUUUCAUGAUUCUCACUACAGCCCAGACAGGUGGGCAGAGCAGUGUUCUUUCCCCUUUAAUGAAUGAAGAAGCUGAGCCUCAAACAGAUGAGGGGGCUUCCUGGGUUCACAGAGCUCUAAAGGGCUGAGCUGUAGAUCCACGGCCACCAUGAUGAGCUAAGAGUUUCUGGAUUCAGUGCCUGCUGUUGCUCCUGGAGAUUUGUAUCCUGAUUGAAGGCUGGUUCCAUAUCUGUUCACCCAGUGCCACUUCCAUCCGGACAGAAGGAACCCAGGUCAAGGCUGACAGGAGGAGCAGGAGCCGUCAAUGAGAGCAGACCUCAGAAGCCAACGGAGGUGAGAAGAGCACCAUCCACAGCCCCAUCCUCUGAAUGCUGUGGGAAGAAGUCCACAAAAUACCACCCCUUGGAGUCAGUCAGUAGUAGAGCCCUUGCUGCUGGCUGCAAAUACCCCAUCAGAACAUGUUUGGGGUGAUUCUUGGACCUGGUUUCAAUUUCUUUUCUGCCAGUCAGCAGUUGUGCUUGACUCACAAUUUGUUGCCAUCUCUUGAAUUAAACUCAGGAAACAGGAUAAAGAUCAGAACCACAUUGUAAAAGCUUCCUUAUGGUUCAUUUUUUGCUGAGAUAAAUAAUGAGCAGCUCUGAUCCAUGUCUCUGGAGAGCUCAGAGCACACUACCAGGAGCUCCUAGCCACAGGGUGAGCACAGGUGGCUGGUGUUCUCUUGAUGAGGAAAGACAGCAGUGUCCAAUCUACCCUGCCUUACACGGAGCCCCAGGUGCUCUCCCGGACUGUGUUGCUACCUAAAGCACAUGGCAAUUGCAUGAUGCUAACCAGAGCAGCCCCUCACUCAUUAGAAACAUCUGCUUUGCAUUAUUUACACAGGCAAAGUUUUCCUUUUUACUGAGCCUACCCAGUUCAAACUUAAGUGGGAUUUGCCAGCUAUCUGGCUAAUUUUAUGAGCAAUAAUAAAGAUUGGUGA
Molecule: long non-coding RNA, 1565 nt
Filed under: Homo sapiens (human)
Lineage: Eukaryota; Metazoa; Chordata; Mammalia; Primates; Hominidae
Description: HSALNT0357833
Source: RNAcentral